Molecule: long non-coding RNA, 20385 nt
Filed under: Gossypium barbadense (sea-island cotton)
Lineage: Eukaryota; Viridiplantae; Streptophyta; Magnoliopsida; Malvales; Malvaceae
Description: long non-coding RNA (GBAR_LNC007525)
Source: RNAcentral
CAAGUCCAACUGUAACGUAAAGGAUUAGUUCUAUUUUGUAUUUUGUAUCUUGCAUUCAUUAAAGGAAACCUUGUGAUAGAGUCCAUUCUUGUAAGUUUUUGAAGAAUCUGUAUUCUAUACCUAAUUUAGGAAGUAGGAUUUAAUUUAUGAGCGGAGUUGUUGGAUUCAUUUAAGGGGUAAGCUUUACUUACGUAUGUUCUUUUAUGAUGCUUAUAUAAAUAAGUUUUGUUAUGUUUGGAGCUUAGGUAUUGACUAUUGAACAACUUCGAUAUUGAUAACUAUUGAGUAUUGUUAUUCUGGAGUAUUUGUUAUAUAUACAUCACCUAGAGUCGAUUACUUUGAAGCAUCUAUUUGACGGGGUUCUGUAUUAAAAUCUUUCAGGUGAGAAUGCCUCAGAGCAAUAUUAUUAUUCUGACUGAUCCAGAAUCUGAUUUGUCACUGCACCAAAACAGUGUUACUGUACUUCCCAUUCAGGGUGAAUAUUCCCAGGACAAGUUGAUGCUUCAAAGAAUCAGGUCUUACAUUGUAAGAGCACAUUGUAUUGAUAUAUAUAGGUAAAAAAGUUUGAUGUUAACUUAUACUACGGGUAGAAACCCUAAACCUAUAGUCCUAAACCCUAAAAUGCUUUUUAUGGCACUUCAUCUUCUUAUUCCCCUUGCCGCCAGUUUCUUUCUUUUUUUUUUUCUUUUCCAUUUUCUCUCAAACGUAUUUCUUUUAUUUAUUUUUAUUUAACCGAUUGUAGUUCAACCGCGAUUUGUUCCCCUGUUUUUUGAACCGAACCGGUCAGAUAAUCCCUUCCAUUUUUUUAAUCACUUCCUUCUUUAUUUCUUUUAUUUGAUUUUUGCUUUAUGCUUUCAUCAAUCUUUUGAUUUCACUCUUUAUCUUUUAGAUUUUUUUUUCUCACAAUCAUCAACUUAUUUCUUUUAUAAUUUUAUCAUUUUUCUCUCAUCUCAUUUCUUCAUUUUUCUUUGGUUGGGUUGUUAGGUUACAUAAAAAUGGACUAAAAAUGUAUGAAAAAUGAAUUAAAAAUCCAAGAAUUCCGGUUGAACCGGUUCAAAUGGUUCUGGCUUCCGAUUUCAUAAUGAUUCUGAACGGUUCAAUAUUACUAUUUUGAUCAGUAAUUCAGUCGCUUUUGGUUUAAUCGGUCUAACCGGUUGGUUCCAACACCACUGACUUAUAUCGAAUCGGUUGGUUCCAACAACUCUCUUUACUUUGGACAGGUAUGGUCCCUGGACCUGUUUAUGGAAGGACUUAUUUAUGAAUUAAGUUAUUCCAAAAAUCCACUCAAUUUGAGAGAGUUUUAUUAUUAUUAUUAUUAUUUUUAUUUAUGAAAAAACAUACAAUUACAUUAAUUCAAGAGAUUAACAAUAUCACAAGCUCUUGUUGAAGAACCCCUAACAAUUUAUUAGAAGGGUUAUUAGGAGGGUUAUCAAAAGUUUGUAGAUUUGACUUCCAUGUUAGAUCGAUCUUUGCUAACUCGGUUCGUAACUAAAUUUGAUAGAGUUUGAAUAGAAAUAUUAAAUCAUUUAGAAUACAGGUGGAGCUUGUGUUUAAACAUUCAAAGCUCAAUUUUAGUUUCACUUAAUUCGAUUUUAAAUUUUUAAUAUUUUAUCUUUUUGUGUUAUAUAAUUUAUAACAGGAAAAGAAUAAAUUUAUAUUAAAUAUAUAAAUUUAUUUUAUAAUUAUAUAAAAAUUUUAAUAAAUAAAAAAUAUAUAAAAUUAUUAAAUAUUAAAUUAAAAUAAUAUAAAAUUAAAAUGGGCGAAAUUAAAAUGAUUUGAAUUAAUUUUUUUGCAAAUAUGAAUGAAGUAAAAUUUUAAGAUGAAAUAUAUUAAAAUAAUUGAUGCAUCAACAUCGCUAUUCCGCUUAAAGUCUAUAAACCUAAAGAAAAUUGGGAAAAUUCCGCAAGAGGGAAAAAUACUUUUUAACCUUUUUAUAGAACACCGUAAUAACCAUAAAAGAUUGUGGGAAGAGCCACGUGUAGCAAAAAGACCAUUGCUUGCGAGAGCAGCGCACCGUAUCCUCGUCUCCUGCCGCCACUGUUACCCAUCUUCUUCAAGCUUGGCAUACCAUCAAAAUACCCUAUAUGUGGUCUAGUCUCACUAACGGUAGCAUUCGAAUUUUACGUUGUUGCGUUACUCGUCGUCCAACCGUCCCCUCUCAACUUUCCAGGUUCCUUGCUCUACAUCUCCUGGAGAACACAGUCCCCUAUAACACUAUGUCCUCCUCUUUUUCUUCUUUCGCUCAUUCAAAUAGAAGGUAAUCUUCAAAUUUGAGCGCAAAUUCGUAUCAAUAAUCUAAUUUUUAUUCAUUUUGAAUAAAAUUUUCUCUUAUUUUUUAUGGUGGUUUUGGCAGUGGAGGCAGAGGUCAAGAUAUGAAACAUGAUCGAGAAAGAUCUAGAGGCCGUGGCGGCGGCGGCAGCAAGGACAAAAUUGAUGCUCUUGGUCGACUCUUGUAAGCGGCGUUGGACAUUGAAACAUUCUAUCAAUUCUUUUUAUAUAUUUAUUUUAUAUACGAUUAAAUUGAUUUUAUUCAUUAGUGCUUUGUUUUUGGUUUAAUUUCUUUUAGGACACGAAUUCUGCGACAUAUGGCUACUGAACUGAAUUUGAAUAUGCGAAGUGAUGGUUAUGUCAAAGUUGAAGAUUUGCUGAAGCUGAAUAUGAAAACAUUUGCUAAUAUCCCUUUAAGGUCACACACUGUUGAUGAUAUCAAAGAGGUAUAAUUUGUAACAGCAUUUCUUGUCUUUGUUCACUGUUGAAUCCUGAGAAUCCUCUCCUAUUUUGAUUGAAAUUUUCUAUCAUUGCAGCAUGUAACUUUUGUAGUUAAAAUUGAUGAAAAUGGCUUCUUUAAAUACUAUUUGUUGUUUACUUAAAAGCGAUCUUUGAGCUGUUACCAGUAGUAAUUUAGAUUCUUGGUCUCCAAAAUGUUGGUGUACAAUCAUGAGAAGGAAAAUGUUCAUUUUACAGCCAAAAGAAAAUUCAUGGUUUUUAUGUUUAUUGAUUGUAGGCUGUCAGAAAAGAUAAUAAGCAACGGUUUAGCCUUCUUGAGGAAAAUGGGGAGCUUUUGAUACGUGCAAACCAAGGCCACACCGUCACGGUGAUGAAUCUUUUAUAAAAAUUUAUCAAUUUCUUCAUGCUUUAUCUGAAUUUUCACCUCAGAUUAUUCUUAGCUGUUGUUUUCAGCAUCUUUAUUUAUGUCUAUGCACUUCUAAGGAAGAUAUUGUAUGUCAUGUUGGCAGACAGUUGACUCCGAAAGAUUAUUGAAACAAAUCGUUUCAGCUGAUGAAGUGCAAUGUAAGAACAUCUUGUCUCUUAGAUCGAUGGACUUGCUUUAUGUCUUUUAUUAUGCAUAAUCCUCUGGAUUUUCCCUGAGAUGAUAGUUUGCGUACAUGGAACCUAUAAGAGGAAUUUGGAAUCAAUUUUGGAGUCGGGUUUGAAGCGCAUGAAAAGAUUGCAUGUUCACUUCUCAAGUGGCUUGCCGACUGACGGUGAAGUGAUUAGUGGUGAGAUACCAUGAAAUUUCUCUUCACUGGUCCUCUGAACUUUGACAUACGAACUCCUUCAUUUUACUCUUUAUUUUUAAUAUGCCAACUCCGUCUACGUGACAAACUGCUUAGGGGUGUUAUUAUGUCUGUUAUCUGCAUUUCACCAUAGGAUUCAUGCAAAAGAUUAUGAAAGGGGAUUACUAAGAUGCCGAUAUAUAACGUGAAUUUUAAUUGAUAAUGGGAAAUGACAAGCACUAAUCGGAAUAAAUCGAGAUUUAGUGAAUCUAAAUGCUGUAGAGGGCUUACGAUGACUUGUAUCUUUUACCCUCUUCAGGUAUGAGACGAGAUGUUAACGUUUUGAUCUAUCUUGAUGUUAGAAAAGCUUUGGAAGGUAAGCACGCUUGCUUCUUUCAAGUUUCAGUCCAGUGAUGAUUCUAUGAACCGAAGCAAUAACUGCAAGUCAUGUCUUUCUCACUUUUAUUUAGAGUCGUGGCCAAAUAUAUAUCGAUCUGUUCUUGCCAAACUACGGUUCUUAAGUUGUCUUCCCUUGUUUUCUUGAUGACUGCAGAAGGCAUGAAGCUUUACAUUUCAGACAACAAAGUGAUAUUGACUGAGGGCUUUGAUGGGGUGGUACCUGUCAAGUACUUUGAGAAAAUAGAAUCAUGGCCAGAUAGAAAACCUAUACCUUUCUCAAAUGUUUAAAAUUGGAUUAUGAAAUGAUCAGUUUUUUUUUUUUUACUCUCUUUUAAACCUGUGUGAUGACCAAUUUGUAUUGGAUCUGAUAAAAGAUGUUCAUUUUGUUUGAUAUUACAUCUUUGGCAUCCAUUUCUCUCCAACUUUUCAUGCUGUUUAAGGUCGUGAUUUGUUUUUGUUAUAAUUGUGUUUAAGGUAUUAUGACCGUGUUGUGUUUUUGUUUCAUAAUUGUGUUUGAGGAAUUCAUGUUAAUAACUGGAUUUAUAUAAGUUUUGAUAUGUUGAGGGUGUUGAUGUUGUGCUUUAGAUAGUUUUUUGUUCUUGGUGUUCAUAUCCUUUUUCAAAUGUAGGCUUAUUACAUUCAUGUCAGAUGAUGAAAUUUACCUUCUACAAUUUGUAGAUCUGUGUCAUGUUUGUGGUUUUAUUUGACAUAUUUACAACAUGUUUGGUUCAAUGUAAUGGCUAUGCCAUUACAACCCUAUUCCGUGGGCCCACCCUAAACACACCUAUGCAGUAAAUUGUCUAAUUUCUAUUCUGUUUCCUCACCACGGAUAACAGAUUCGGUGUUUAAGGAGCCCUUCACGCUCCCCACUUUGCCCUCAGUUCCUUCUAUAGUCCUCACUUCCAAUUUUUCUGCCAUCUUUUUUCUGCUUUCUUUUUCUUUCUCUCAAUAGAGUUUUUCUUUUCCUUUCUUCCGUUUCUUUUUCUUUAUCUAUACCAUCGAUUGUUGGAAAGAGCAAGAGGGUUCUUAGAGGGGGAAUUGAAAUCUAAAUCGAAAACUGAAAAUGUUGAGGGUAAACCGAGUGAUAAACCGGGCACGAGCUUCGAUUUCAAAUUGUCAAUACCUCCUAAGUCAUGACCCAAAGAUUUCCCCUUCAUCUCCUCAACAUUUCACUUCAAAAUCAUCCAUUCGCUUCUUCGAUAUUUUCAAGGCAAUCCCUUUUUAAUUCUAUUAUUUGAUUUUUCAAGUUAUAGUUCUUUUUAACUUUCUGUCUUGUGUGUGCAGCUUGCAAGCAAGGAAAAAAUCGAGAAAGAACGAGCAAGAAUGUAAGUUUAAAGCUUUGUUUGUUUAUUGAAAUUUUGUUACGUGCUCUUUUUCUCCAUGAAAUUUAAUAUAAAUAAUUGUUUUAAUUUGAUUUAGGGCAGUGCUGAUGAAUUGAAUAGAGGAUAUUUUGAUGAUAUGUCUGAGCUAAAACAACACGGUGGUAAGGUAUUAACUGAUUUGUUCUUUUUAUAUACAUAUAGGCUAUAUCAUUUGCAAAUCUGUUCAAAUUAGUUGAAUUGCAACUGAUUUCUGAGUAAAAUUAAUGUUACUUUCUGUAAACAUUUUAAUUGUUAGUUUUUUUUUUCUGGCAGAUUGCACUGGCAAAUAAUAUUCUAAUUCCGGAAUUGCAGCAAGGAAGUUUCCUGCCAUGGAUGUUAUAUAUUCUGAUGGUAGAAAAUCAAAGCUGCUGAUUGUUUUUGAUGCAAGUGGUGUUGAUGCUAGCAAUUUGGUUGUCCCUGAAGCAUCUUUAGUCUGUCUAUCAUUUAGAGCAAACUCUCAGGUAUGGUUUCCUUUUUCUAUGUUUGUUUUGGAUUAAAUAUGUAUUUCUUAAUGAUGUUAUAAAUCUUCCAUUUUUAUCAUGAUAAGAGAAUGUUGACUAGAUAGUGCAUUGCUUUAAAAUUGUGAUAAGAGGCAUAUCAGCGUCUCCAUGGCAACGGAGGGGUUAGCACUAAAUUGCAAUCAUGAAAACAACAAAAAUAUGAGAAACAAAAGAUGUUGGUUGCUAACUUUUCUUUUCUCUUGUUUCUGGUUAUUGUUGUUGAUGAUGCAUUUUAACUCCUUUUCCUUGUCAGGCUAUGGUCGAUUCUUGGAGCAAGCCUUUUUAUGACUCCUUUAGUGAGUCCAAGAGCGUGCAGCUAUAUGAGGUUCUAUAUUUUUGCUAUUUAACUUUUCAUUCCUUUUUGGCAUGUGUGGUGAAUCAACUAUUCUCAGUUUUCUGUUGCUAGAAAGAACUUAUAGUUACAUCCAUCUGUAGUCAAUAAUAAUAACAAACAAAUAAAACAGCGAACAAGAAUAGAAGAUAACCAUGCUGGUAUGACUUAUGAGUUAUGACCGUCCUAGUUGAGCUUAUAGCUCAUCAGAUCAGCCUAUAAUUAAUAAUGCAGUUGUCCUUGUAUUUACUGUAUUUGAAUGGAAAUUCUUGGCAGCUGAUUUUAUGUUUUAUAUAAGUUAUUUGUUAAAAUACUCGUGUUUGGAAAUUAUUAUGUGUUGCUAAAUGAUAAUAUAUCUAUUAUAUCUUUAAAACUUUGCAGGUAAUAUGGAGAAUGAAGUCAAAGAAACACUUGGAAACGGUUUCACUAGCUAUUCUGCUUCACUAGAGGUCAGUUAGCCAGAUCAUUUAUUCCAACAUAGAUUCCCAUUUAUAAUGUCUUCUCUUUUUUCCUUGUGAUGUAAGGUAUGUAUCGGACACGCUCAUGUUUGAAUACAUGUAUCAAACACAAGUAUUUAAGGAAGAAGAAAAGAAGCCCUUUGUUCUAUAUAUCCUUAUUGAUAAAUAGAAAUAUAAUUUUGUUUUCUCCAAAAUCCCCUAAUUCCACUGCAAAAGAAACCUUACAUGUUCUUUUCUGUUGCUUCAUAAAGGAAGAAUCUCAAAGAUGUUAGAUUCUAGCAAUAUAAAAAGAAUUCAUGUUUUCGAUACCUUCAAUUUGACCUAAUGUUGUUUUGUGAGUAAAGCUACGAACAAUGAUUGUUCUUUCAAGGAUCAAGCUCAACCUUGAAGUAAUCAUAAACAUAGAUUGCUUAGCAAAUGACAUUUUUGUGGAUAUAUUGAUGAGAACUUACAUAUCUAGCCUGGUUUCCACAUUGUAUUGGUAAAUGAUAACUGCAUUUUGUUUUGAGAUUGCUCGGAUAAAAGCCCGAAUUUCUUGAGAUCUGUCGUAAACUAUGAAUUAUGGUACCAUAGAGAAGCUGCUGGUUAAGCCAGAAAAAGCUUAGUCCCACUGCCUGCAAAAUGUUGGAUACAAGUUCUUGCCUGAUCCCCUACUUCUAAAGCUAAAUCUUCUUAAUCAGUUUAUAUUUCUUCAAGAUGCUGUAGCUGACUCAAAAGCUGUUGAGGGAGUACUGUUAUGGAGCAUUGGGAUUUGGUGGACAAAGAAACUAAGCAUAUAAAUUGGCAAUUUCAGGGAAACUUAAAUUGGAAGCAAAGCUUUUUUAUUUCGAGUACAUUGAUAAAGUUAAUUUUUAAUUAAAUAAAUCAAGCUUCAUCCGAAAAAGAAGUAUUUGACUUGUAACACCAAAAAAAAAAAAAAGGUGAGAAAUGAUGCACCUGCAAAGCCCCAACAAUUAAAAAUGGCAGGAAAAAGAAAAGCUCCAACAAACAUUUUUUGUUUCUUUUAGUUGAAAAAAGAAAAAUAAAAAAAAUGCUCUUUUUGUGACUUUUUUUUAAUGAAAAUUGUGUUUAAUACAAUUAAUUAGUUUUAGAUUAUAACACAGGUAAAAAGUUUUAUAUAAAAAUUAUGUCAAUAACAAAUGGAAUUUUAGUUGAAAUCAUAAAAUUGAGAUAACUUGAGAAGCAAUGCAUUCAAAUAAUAGUGUACUAUUUCAAAAUAUAGUAAAUAAUUUUUUUAAAUAUUUUAAUAUAAUUAAAUAUAAAAAUAAAAAAGCAUUUUAACAUAAUUUAAUAUAAAAAUAAUUAUAUUAAGAAUGUUAUUAAAUUAUAUUUAAUAAUAGUUAUAUUAAAAUAUGAUUAAAUUAUUUAUUUUUAUUUUUAUUAAAUUAUAUUUAAUAAUAAUCUUAUUAAAAUUUAAAACCCAUAUCUAAAAAAAUUUUUGUUAAGGGUAUUAUGGUCAUUUUAAUUUUUUUCUUUAUGCUAUUACAUAUCUAUUUCAUUCAACCAAACACAAUAAUACUAUUACAGAUUUAUUCCAUUACAUUCAACCAAACAAUUGAAUUACUGAUUACAGCUCUAUUCCAUUACAGCUUUAUUCUAUUACAGCCCUAUUCCAUUUCAGUGAACCAAACGUGUCCUUAAGUAUUCAUAUCAUAUAUUUUUGUUGUAUUCAUAUUCAAAAUUCUCAGCUGCACCACAUUCAUCUCACAUCAUUAAAUUUACAUUUUACCAUUUUUAUAUCCAUAUUAUGUUCGAUUUUAUAUAAUUACAUGAAAUUUUGUGUCCAUAAUUUAAAUUUUAAUUGAUAUAUUUUUUCAUGUUUUAAAUUUUUUUAUAUUGUCUAAAUUAAGAAAAGAAAUGGAAGUUUGGACUUGAUUUCCAUUGUCUUAGUAUGUACCUUUGGGGUGUUAUUUGAUUAAACUUUUUGUGUGCUUAGGCUAUUUUAAUGUGCUUUUGGUCUUUUUCGAUUAAUUAAUAUCAAUGCAUAUUGAUAAAUUCCAACUAGUACAUUGAAGCACAUCAAUAAUGAGAUGUACCAAUAUAAUAAAAAGUAAUGACUUCCUUAGUUUGGUUUUCGAUUUUUGCCUCUAAUAAUCGAAUCAGUCUUCUUGUAACAUCAAACCCAAUAUUAGUUUUAAUUGCAGUUAACAUAAUUAAAUAUAAAUUACAUUUCAUCAAUACACACCAUUUAUCUUAACUUCAUUUAUGAUCUUAAACAACGGCUUAAUUCUAAAAUCAGCUUUUAAAUUAUAUCAUUUUUUCCCUUAAAUACUUAUAUAUAUAUAUAUAUAUAUAUUCUUUUUUGUUAAAAAUAAUAUUUUAACACUCUCAUUUCAUCUCAAAAGUGUAUGAUAUUAAAUAAAAAUAUAUUAUGUAUUAUGUAUUAUAUUCUAUAUAAGAUGAAAUUAACUUGAAUUAAUAAUUUAAAUACUGCUUUUAAUAUUUUAAUUUCACGUGGUCACCAUAAGUGUGGUCUGGGUUUGGUCUGAGUUUGAAUCGCGUUAAUUAUUUCAGUUUUGUCGUGUUAUUGUAAUUAAAAAAAAUUAUUUACAUAAAUGAAAAAUUGAUAUACUUCACUGUAUAUAAAAAAAAAAAUCCCAAUUUUGAUUUUUAAUAAACAAAACGGUGAAAUCGGGUGAACUUAACCGAGACAACACCGCCUAUCAGAAAACAUAUAUCGCGAAAACAGUAAGGAAAAGGAAAACAGUGAACUCUCAAAGAACAUUGAAAUCUCUUUUUCUUAACCUCCCCCCCCCCCAAAAAAAAAAAACCUUUAAUAGCAUCCCGAGGAACCCAAUUGCUUCAGGUUUGGAUUUCUCUUCCAUUUCUUCUCUUUAUUGUCAACUGCAUCUCGUCGUUAAGGUUUUUUUUUUCCUAUUGCUUAUUUUCUGUACUUAGCAUGACAUCUUCUGCUUUGAUUCAAGCUUCCAUUAUUAAUUGUUGGCAUGCUUGUGAAUUUUUUUUUUAUGCCUGAUCUGAAAUUGAUUUACUUCUAGCUAUUGAAAGUUCUAAAAAUAUAGCUCUAAUUUGGAAUCUCUUGUUAUGAUUUGUCUUAAUGCCCACGGAUUCCAAAAUGUUUGAGUUAAUGGUCUUGUAAAUUUAGCUUGAAAAAACCAUGUAUUGGAUCAAUCCAUAAUAAUUCAUUUCUGCAAAUCGUUCGUAAUUCAAUUUUAUUUUUGUUGCAGCCGUUCUUAGGCUAUUCUUUGAGGUGCCAUUUGAAAAAAUUCCUUCCCCCCCCCCCCCCCAAAAUAAUGCAGCAGCUAGCCCGUGAUAAAGUAAGAUAAUUGGCGCUGGAAGAUCAUAUCUAUUGUUGAAAGAUUGAUUAAGGCAUGAAAGCUUGUGUUGGAUGGCGUCGUUUCCUUUUCUGUUUCCCACUUAUUUUCAUCCUUCCUCAUUUAUUUUCUGGUGGUUGUUCCUCUUUGCUACUAAAUCAUUCACUUGUGGGUUCUUCUAAUGUCCUUUUUGUUUGUUAUUGAAGACAUCAAAAUGAUUCUUUUUUUUUUUUCAUGUUUCCAGUUCUGGAAUUGCACCAGAAUCAAGCAGUCACAGAUUCCCCCAAGGAAAACACGAAGAAGUUUGAUGUUCAGCAUUCAUCAGGAGAUGAUGCCCCCAAGAAAAUAACCAAGAAAUUUGAUCACCUGGUUCUUGGACCUGCUGCCGGAGAAGGCUUGCCCAACCGUUUGCAAUGCCGAGGUUUUGACUAUUUUGCUGUUGCUAGCACAUUAAUUUGAUAAAGGGAACAUUAGACUUGCAUUCAUUUCUAAAAACUGUAGAUGCUAUAAUAACUGUUUUAUGUGAUUAGGAGUCUGUUUUGUAGACAUUUGUGGCAUCAAAUUCCUUUUCUUUUUUCUUUCUAAUUUGUUCAUAAAUAUAUGAUGUUCCCAUUGAAAUCAAAUGUUUAAUGAAAGUAAUUUUAUUGAGCCCUCAGAUCCUAAGUUUUGUUGCUGUGGUAUUCUAUGAAUUUCUAAUGUUUUCAAUGUAUUGCAGGAGUUAAAGCUCUCAACAAGACCUAUUUUUCAAACCCUUCUCAUGCCUCUAGUGUCGGCGAUGGUAUUGCCUUUGUGACUGUUUUUACCAUUUAUAACAACUCACCCGAUGCCCUUGCGGAUGGUAAACCAUCAAACUUGGUCACUGUUGGGAAUGCUUCAUAUAGUAAGCCAGAGCGAUCUAUGGCCAUUUUGAAUGUGUUCAUUAAGUUCAUUCAGGUAACUCUUCAGUUAAACAUGAUAGAGCUGCACCUGGCUUCCUUUUGGAAAUGUCUGCUAGAGAUAUCUGUUAAAUUGCUUGAAGUUCAGGACCACAUUCUGUUAUCUAUGAGCUUUUUAACUUAUCUUCCAAUGUACUUUGGUAUUAUUGUAACUAGAGGUGAUAUGGGCUGGGUUUGGGCCCAAACAAAAUUUUAGACUCGUUUGCUAGGCCAGGGCAUGUUUUGGCCCGAAAAAUGGGCAUAAACUUUUACCAAUCCCGGCCCGGAUAAAAUGUCAAAACCCAGGCCCGACCCAAUCUGGCGUGUAUUAAUUUUUUUAAAAAUAUAUAAUACAUAAAAAAUACUAAAAACAUUAAAAUAAAUGUUUUCCAACAAAUUUAAAAAAAUGUAUAUUUAAAUAACAUCAAGAUAGGGUGAAAUGAUAGCAAAAUAGUAAAAAAAAAAAGAAAACAGGAAAGAAAAAGGUAAAAAAAAGCAAAAAGAAGGUGCAGUUUUUUUUUUUUACAUAUUCAGGCUGGGUCGGGCCCGGCCCGGGCAAAAAAUGCCUUACCCAAGGCCCGGUCCACUUUCUGAACGGACCUUGUAUUUUUUUGCUCAAGUCUAUUUUUCGGGCUUAUAUUUAUACCCAAAUCCUCUCACUUAACAAAUCAGGAUAUAGGCUAUAAUCUCUUGUCAUAUUCAAAGUCUUGAGAUCCGCUUAAACACAUAUCUUACCCCAAAAGGGAGUCAGUUACAGUGUUGCUUAUGUCGUUGAUAUCUGGGGACCUAUUAUAGGUACAAAGGCAUAUUUCCAAAGAAUAAAUGAUUCUAAGGAUGAUUAUUUGUAUGAUAUGAUCAUAAAUGAAGAAUAAAAUAAUAUUUAAAAGACAGUCCAAAGAACAAAAUAAUGUAUACUAUGAAAUGGAAAAAAUAAAAGUAUAUUUGCUUAACAAGAUGCAUUUUAUUGAAAUAAAAAAUUCUGGACACAAGCCUAUGUCACAAAAAGAUUCUUAUUGCCUCUAGGCUUAAAGCAACAAGCGUGUUUUGAAUAUUACUUUAGAUUAGCUCUAAAAAAUACAGGGAUCUCUUCCACAGUCCCAUCGUUCAAAACACUCCCAAGUAUGCAAGGAUUUGAAAACUUUUAUUCCCCAAUUCUCUCUUCGGAUAUGUCAUUCAGAUUUUCUGAUAUUCCUUCAUCAUAUUCUCGACUAUCGCGUUUACCCUAUUAUCUUUAUGAUUGGGUAACGAAUUUCCUAUGCCAAGUGGAUUAUCGAAUUUCACAACGCCCACGUCAAUGAGCCUUUCGACUAGCUUUUUGAAAGAAAGGCAAUUCUCUAUCGACUGUCCUACUGUUCCCGCAUGGUAUUCACAUUGAGUACCUGUGACGAAUAAUUUGGGAUAUGAGGGUUGCAACGGCUUUAAGUAGACAGGGGAUAUAACGUAUGCAUCAAAUAAAUUUUUGUACAGCUCCCAGUAUGUUAUUGGAAUAAGAGUAAACCGGAGCUUCUCUGUGCUUUGUUUUGUAUUAGGCUCCUGUCUUGGUAAAGCUUGCUGACCCGUGGCCACUACCUUCGGUUGGUUUACUGUGACUUGUUUUGCAUAACUUAGGCUCACAUUGCUGACUUCAUCUUCUCUCUUCUUCGGGAUGACCUUCUGGUACUUUCCCCAGCCUCUAUCUUUUCGCACCUUAUUACAUUCUCUAUCAUCUUACUAGACAUCACUAUGUCCACAAAACUCCUAGUUGCGAUUCUCAACAUGUGAUUAAUAAAAGGUGCCUUCAAAGUAUUAAUGAAAAACACGGUUGUCUCUUUUUCCAACAGCGGCGGUUGAACGUGCGUAGCAACUUCCCUCCACCUCUGGUAUACUGCCUGAAACUUUUAUUCGACUUCUUCUCCAUGUUUUGUAACGUGAUCCUAUCAGAUGCUAUGUUGGUCACAUGGCCAUAUUACUUCAUGAAAGCCUGUGCUAAAUCUCUUUAUGAUUUAACUUGGGUACGACUCAGCUGAUUGUACCAUUUAGCCGCAGCCCCAGCCAAACUGUCCUGAAAACAGUGAAUCAAUACCUGAUCGUUAUUGCCAUGACCAGUCAUCCUCCGAUAAAACAUCAUAAUAUGAGCCUCAGGGCAGCUGGUUCCAUUGUAUUUUUCAAAUUCUGGCAUUUUGAACUUCGAAGGGAGUACCAAAUCUGGAAUCAGGCUCAACUCCUUAGCAUCCAUUCCGCAAUAAUAAUCAGCACUUUCCAACGCCUUGAAUUUCUACCCCAAUAAUUUAUAUCGGUCUUCCAAUUGCUUUGGAAAUUUCACUAUUUCCUUUUCUGCUUCCACUACCUCAUCGAAGUCAGGGACCGCAGGAUUUGCUCGAUUGUCCUCUGGGUUAGAACACGAGCUCGUCGGGAAAUUUAUCGGUGCCAAAGUACCAGUCUGAUAUUGAAGUUUGAUAUUGACAGACACCCUUUGCGGUGGUACUGGGUAUUUGUUGGGGUGAAACCUGGAGGGUAAGCAAGGAUCUCAUUGUCGUCCUUAGUAUUGGUCACAAGACUAUUCCCUUUUUCCGGUCUUCCAACUAGUAACUGAGUCAAUUGGCUUAUCAUAUUCUUUUUAGAUUUCAGCAUUUGAUCUUUUAUAUCUUGCUAGAUCUUAGCUAAUUGCUCUUGCAUUUGCGCUUGCAUCUGUUCCUGCAUCUUCUUCUGAAUUUGCUCUAAUUUUUUCAGCCUUUGAUCCAUAACUUUAGUUUUUCUUUGUGUGUAGUAGUGAUGUUCCAGGAUAACUAUAACACGAUUACUAGUUAAUUAGGGUUCUUUUGUAAAAUUUAAUGCACAUGAUGCAAUAAUGCAAUGCAAUGCAAAUACAUGGAAUGAAUGCAAAAGAAAGAAAGGCGUUGAUUCUGAAUUCAAUUCUAUUGGAACAACUUUUCUAGAAAACAAAUUCCUUUACAUAAAACGAAUUACAUGUGCGGCAUUGCCCUCAUGUUCCAGGCGAAGACACCGAUUUCCUUUCUUUGUAAAAGUCAAAUCUCGCAAGCUUCCAAUAGAUGCCCCCACUAGCUUUUUUUUCUUGAUCCGGGCCACGAUUUAUUGCUCGCUUAUCCUUGCGAUGUUGGUUAGCUCCUUUAAGAAAGUCGGGACAUGACAGUUUUCUAGUAAUCUUUAUCGACUUGAAUCCUCAAGCAAUAAAACAAAGUCUUGUUUUCCUCCGCGAACUAUCAGCCUUCUUUCGCUGUGUUCACUUGGAUCAUGUUCCGACAACCGUAUUGUCGAAACCAUUUUUUAAAAAAGUUUGAAAAAAACGGGAUCGACUUUAAAACGAGGUAUGGAGUUGCCACCGACCUUUUUUGAGGUGUAAUCGGAUCACCUUGAGGUUGAUCAUUUUAAUAAAAUAUUUGAUUUAUUAAAAUAAUAAUUUUAGGUCUACGAAAAUUGAAAACAAGGGUUCGGGAGUCGGUUACACAUGAGGAAGGGUUAGCACCCCCGUAACGCCCAAAAUUGGUACCAAUUGAUUAUUGAAUGUCCUAUCGUUGAAAAUUUAGAAAAAAUUUAAAAUACGAUUCCUUUAAAAAUGUAUGAACAAUUCGAAUUUGAUUUUAAGGUUCACUUACUCCAAAGAAAUAAAAUACCACAUCCAGCACGUUAGGACACGAUACUUUAAGCCUCCAAAGACUGAGAUCACCUCAUAAUUUCCAAAACACACAACGAAUUCUUAAAAGGGUACUCCGUUAUUUGGAAAAACGGAAAAAAAAAAUCAAAACCCAACACGUUAGGGCACGUUUUCCUGAAUUUCUAAAACACGAAACAUUACCUUGUUUUGAAGAGUUUCCCAAAUAAGCAAUUAUGAAAUCGGCUCAAAAUAUAUUCGCUUGGGUUACUUUAGGUUAAAAAGCAAUCGAUGUUGGGCGAAAAUGCGGGAUUUUAAAAAAAAAUCAUGAUGCAAUAACAAGAAACUAAAACAUAAUUAUAAGCAUGAAACAAUAAUAAGUGAAUACGAAUUGAAAACAAAAAAUAACACAUGAUACACAGAUCUACAUGAAAACUAGGAACAAUAUAACGCAAAACAAAAAACCAUAUGAACAAUAUACAAAGGGAUAACAUAUAUUAGAAUUAAAAAUAGCUUAUAUGAAUAAAAAACGGAUAAUAAAUAUGUGAUUAUUAAAGUAUAUAUUGAAAUGAAUAAUAUGUAACACAAUUUCAAAUGAAACUAAUUGACUUAAUAAAUGAUAUACACAUUUAUAUGAAAAAUAAAAAAUGUAUAUACAACGAUACCAAAGUAAUUAAAAUAAAUAAAAUAUGUAAUUUAAAUCAGGAUCCUCAAAAAAAGCCAAAUUUUAUAUGAAUAAUUUUAAGGAAAAUAUAUAUAUAAUAAGUUUAGAAGAAAGUAUUUACAUAACAGAUUUGAAAAGAAAACAUAUAUUAAAUAGAUUUAAAAGAAACUAUAUAAAUAAAAUAACAUAGAAUUAAUAACGUAUAUGAAAUAAAACUAAUUUCAUCAUAAUUGUACAUUUACAAUAAUAAUAUAUAAAAAUAUUUUAAUUAAAUAUUAUACAAGAACUUAGAAUAAUACUACAUAAAAAUAGAAUUUUAAAAUUAUACUUUACAAUUUAAACAAAUAAAUAACAAAGUAAAAAUUUUAGUAACCCAAAUUGUAUGUUUAAAUAAUUUCCUUAAAAGUUGAAUGCUAAAUAGAUUAAAGAAAUAAUGAAUUAUACAAAUAAAAAACUCAAUUAAAAUAAAAAUAAAAUAAAGGGGAUACUUCAUAAAUAAAACAAAUCAUUAAAAUUAGAAAAGGGAUCGAAGUGCAAUGUGCACAAAUACACAGGGACCAAAAGCACAAAUAAUCCAGACCCCCAAACUCAGCACCCAGGCGCGGGCCAAAUCGAGACAUCGCACAAAUUGUGGGGACAAUUUAAUAAAAUAAAUAAAACACAAAUCGGGGCUAAUUUAAAAACUUGUGCAAAUAGGAAGGACUGACAGCCAAAAUUACGCAUUUAAGGUAAAAUGCGCGGACCAAGUCAAAUGCGCAUACUGAAUCUACUCCCCAAUUCUGUUUCAUUUUCAUUUGAAAUUAAACUUGUUUUAAAACCUUUUUUAUUUUUGCUUUUUAAAAAAACAUUUUAACUUUUAUUCCCUUUUUUAAAGAACCCUAAAUGCUUUGGAGUAUGUCUAACUCCUUCACUUUCCUCUCUGCUUUCCAGCCAAACAACUAGUACCCAAGCCUCAACAUUCCCAAAAUCCGACGACGAACGGAGAGCCCUCCCCACGGCAUUAGCACGACGGUGAGUCUCAUUCUCUCUCACUUAUAUUUUAGCGUAUCCGAUGAAAAUGAAAAAAAGAAAAAAACGAAAUAAAAUAGUAAUAACCACCUUUGAGUAUAUUUCUUGACUGCUUUCUUUUAUUUUUUUAUGUGUAUUUGGUAUUCGAUUUGUAACCCAAAAGAAAUCGUGUUCUAUUUCUCUGAACAACAAAGGAAAAAAACCCCCUAAACAAAUGAAAAUAACCCCCUAAAUAAUUUAAUAAAAAAAUAAAAAAAUAAAAAUCAUAUCUUCCUAUUUUUAACCUUUUACCAAGUCAACAAAUUUUGAUAACUCCUUGGCUUUCUCCAUCUUUUUGAUUUGGCAACAAUUUAACGAUUGUCUUUCAAUUUGGCCAUUUUUUAACUUGUUUCCGACCGAUUGCAUUCUUUAGCUUCGAUUAUUAUUUUUUUGGGGCCUAGACCAAAAUUUGCCUAUUACACUUGUAAUUUUUUUUAAAGAUUUUGGGUUCUUUGUUUGUUAUUUAUUGCUUGAAUGUGCUAGAUUCUUUAUUAUUUGUUUUUUUGAUUGUGCUGAGUUAUUUGUUUUUUUUUAAUAGAGCUGCCUGCAUCUCUCAUUUUUUUUUCUCAUAUUUUCUCAUGAAACAAAAAGAAAAAAAGAAAAAUGAAAAGAUUCAACUACCCAACAACUGAAAAAAGAUAAAAAAAAUGAAUGUGAAAAUCCAAAAAAGAAAAUGAACUCAAGAUUCGAAAUGUAAAACAAAGAGAAGAAAAAAUGUGUUUAGUAGAGAAAAGAAAAGAAAAUGUGUUUAACAAACAGGACAAGAAUUGAAAUCAAUCAUUAAAAGCAAACAUGUUUAGCAGAGAAAAGAAGAGAAAAUGAAAUUGGGAAGAAGAAAGAUCACCGGGAAAAAAAAAGGAAAAAAGGAAAUAGUUUUAAAAAUAUUUUAUUGCAUUUUAAUAUUUUUUAUAUUAUGACCUCAUUUAUACCACGUGUCACAGUCUUAUUCCGUCACCUGUCUUGAAGUUAAUGCCGUUAAGCUUGGAUACCAAACUCGUGGAUAAAAAUUACCAAUCUGGGAGAAAUGAACAAGUUUAGGUACUAAUAUUAUAUUUUUCCCUAAUUUAAAAUAAUAAUUAAAAAAUACUUUUAAAAACCUUUAAAUGAAGAUGUGAACCUUUUAAAAGUUUAGAGAGCAGCCCAACUAACACGAUUAGGCCCAUACCCCAGAAAAAGAAAAAGACACCCUAAAACGCUUUUUAUCAUUUUCUGGCACUUCAUCUUCUUAUUCCCCUUGCCGCCAGUUUCUUUCUUUUUUUUUUUCUUUUCCAUUGUCUUCUUGUAACAUCAAACCCAAUAUUAGUUUUAAUUGCAGUUAACAUAAUUAAAUAUAAAUUACAUUUCAUCAAUACACACCAUUUAUCUUAACUUCAUUUAUGAUCUUAAACAACGGCUUAAUUCUAAAAUCAGCUUUUAAAUUAUAUCAUUUUUUCCCUUAAAUACUUAUAUAUAUAUAUAUUCUUUUUUGUUAAAAAUAAUAUUUUAACACUCUCAUUUCAUCUCAAAAGUGCAUGAUAUUAAAUAAAAAUAUAUUAUGUAUUAUGUAUUAUAUUCUAUAUAAGAUGAAAUUAACUUGAAUUAAUAAUUUAAAUACUGCUUUUAAUAUUUUAAUUUCACGUGGUCACCAUAAGUGUGGUCUGGGUUUGGUCUGAGUUUGAAUCGCGUUAAUUAUUUCAGUUUUGUCGUGUUAUUGUAAUUAAAAAAAAUUAUUUACAUAAAUGAAAAAUUGAUAUACUUCACUGUAUAUAAAAAAAAAAAUCCCAAUUUUGAUUUUUAAUAAACAAAACGGUGAAAUCGGGUGAACUUAACCGAGACAACACCGCCUAUCAGAAAACAUAUAUCGCGAAAACAGUAAGGAAAAGGAAAACAGUGAACUCUCAAAGAACAUUGAAAUCUCUUUUUCUUAACCUCCCCCCCCCAAAAAAAAAAAAACCUUUAAUAGCAUCCCGAGGAACCCAAUUGCUUCAGGUUUGGAUUUCUCUUCCAUUUCUUCUCUUUAUUGUCAACUGCAUCUCGUCGUUAAGGUUUUUUUUUUCCUAUUGCUUAUUUUCUGUACUUAGCAUGACAUCUUCUGCUUUGAUUCAAGCUUCCAUUAUUAAUUGUUGGCAUGCUUGUGAAUUUUUUUUUAUGCCUGAUCUGAAAUUGAUUUACUUCUAGCUAUUGAAAGUUCUAAAAAUAUAGCUCUAAUUUGGAAUCUCUUGUUAUGAUUUGUCUUAAUGCCCACGGAUUCCAAAAUGUUUGAGUUAAUGGUCUUGUAAAUUUAGCUUGAAAAAACCAUGUAUUGGAUCAAUCCAUAAUAAUUCAUUUCUGCAAAUCGUUCGUAAUUCAAUUUUAUUUUUGUUGCAGCCGUUCUUAGGCUAUUCUUUGAGGUGCCAUUUGAAAAAAUUCCUUCCCCCCCCCCCCCCAAAAUAAUGCAGCAGCUAGCCCGUGAUAAAGUAAGAUAAUUGGCGCUGGAAGAUCAUAUCUAUUGUUGAAAGAUUGAUUAAGGCAUGAAAGCUUGUGUUGGAUGGCGUCGUUUCCUUUUCUGUUUCCCACUUAUUUUCAUCCUUCCUCAUUUAUUUUCUGGUGGUUGUUCCUCUUUGCUACUAAAUCAUUCACUUGUGGGUUCUUCUAAUGUCCUUUUUGUUUGUUAUUGAAGACAUCAAAAUGAUUCUUUUUUUUUUUUUUUUUCAUGUUUCCAGUUCUGGAAUUGCACCAGAAUCAAGCAGUCACAGAUUCCCCCAAGGAAAACACGAAGAAGUUUGAUGUUCAGCAUUCAUCAGGAGAUGAUGCCCCCAAGAAAAUAACCAAGAAAUUUGAUCACCUGGUUCUUGGACCUGCUGCCGGAGAAGGCUUGCCCAACCGUUUGCAAUGCCGAGGUUUUGACUAUUUUGCUGUUGCUAGCACAUUAAUUUGAUAAAGGGAACAUUAGACUUGCAUUCAUUUCUAAAAACUGUAGAUGCUAUAAUAACUGUUUUAUGUGAUUAGGAGUCUGUUUUGUAGACAUUUGUGGCAUCAAAUUCCUUUUCUUUUUUCUUUCUAAUUUGUUCAUAAAUAUAUGAUGUUCCCAUUGAAAUCAAAUGUUUAAUGAAAGUAAUUUUAUUGAGCCCUCAGAUCCUAAGUUUUGUUGCUGUGGUAUUCUAUGAAUUUCUAAUGUUUUCAAUGUAUUGCAGGAGUUAAAGCUCUCAACAAGACCUAUUUUUCAAACCCUUCUCAUGCCUCUAGUGUCGGCGAUGGUAUUGCCUUUGUGACUGUUUUUACCAUUUAUAACAACUCACCCGAUGCCCUUGCGGAUGGUAAACCAUCAAACUUGGUCACUGUUGGGAAUGCUUCAUAUAGUAAGCCAGAGCGAUCUAUGGCCAUUUUGAAUGUGUUCAUUAAGUUCAUUCAGGUAACUCUUCAGUUAAACAUGAUAGAGCUGCACCUGGCUUCCUUUUGGAAAUGUCUGCUAGAGAUAUCUGUUAAAUUGCUUGAAGUUCAGGACCACAUUCUGUUAUCUAUGAGCUUUUUAACUUAUCUUCCAAUGUACUUUGGUAUUAUUGUAACUAGAGGUGAUAUGGGCUGGGUUUGGGCCCAAACAAAAUUUUAGACUCGUUUGCUAGGCCAGGGCAUGUUUUGGCCCGAAAAAUGGGCAUAAACUUUUACCAAUCCCGGCCCGGAUAAAAUGUCAAAACCCAGGCCCGACCCAAUCUGGCGUGUAUUAAUUUUUUUAAAAAUAUAUAAUACAUAAAAAAUACUAAAAACAUUAAAAUAAAUGUUUUCCAACAAAUUUAAAAAAAAUGUAUAUUUAAAUAACAUCAAGAUAGGGUGAAAUGAUAGCAAAAUAGUAAAAAAAAAAAAAAGAAAACAGGAAAAAAAAAGGUAAAAAAAAGCAAAAAGAAGGUGCAGUUUUUUUUUUUACAUAUUCGGGCUGGGUCGGGCCCGGCCCGGGCAAAAAAUGCCUUACCCAAGGCCCGGUCCACUUUCUGAACGGACCUUGUAUUUUUUUGCUCAAGUCUAUUUUUCGGGCUUAUAUUUAUACCCAAAUCCUCUCACUUUUCGGGCAGGCUGAGCAAGUCCAACUGUAACGUAAAGGAUUAGUUCUAUUUUGUAUUUUGUAUUUUGUAUCUUGCAUUCAUUAAAGGAAACCUUGUGAUAGAGUCCAUUCUUGUAAGUUUUUGAAGAAUCUGUAUUCUAUACCUAAUUUAGGAAGUAGGAUUUAAUUUAUUAGCGGAGUUGUUGGAUUCAUUUGAGGGGUAAGCUUUACUUACGUAUGUUCUUUUAUGAUGCUUAUAUAAAUAAGUUUUGUUAUGUUUGGAGCUUAGGUAUUGACUAUUGAACAACUUCGAUAUUGAUAACUAUUGAGUAUUGUUAUUCUGGAGUAUUUGUUAUACA